Molecule: ribosomal RNA, 253 nt
Filed under: uncultured bacterium
Lineage: Bacteria
Description: partial 16S ribosomal RNA
Rfam family: Bacterial small subunit ribosomal RNA
Source: RNAcentral
UACGUAGGUGGCGAGCGUUGUCCGGAUUUAUUGGGCGUAAAGCGCGCGCAGGCGGUUGUCUAAGUCUGCUGUGAAAUCUCCCGGCUCAACUGGGGAGGGUCACGCGAUACUGAUCGACUCGAAGGCAGGAGAGGGUAGUGGAAUUCCCGGUGUAGUGGUGAAAUGCGUAGAUAUCGGGAGGAACACCAGUGGCGAAGGCGACUACCUGGCCUGUUCUUGACGCUGAGGCGCGAAAGCUAGGGGAGCAAACGGG